Molecule: ribosomal RNA, 253 nt
Filed under: uncultured bacterium
Lineage: Bacteria
Description: partial 16S ribosomal RNA
Rfam family: Bacterial small subunit ribosomal RNA
Source: RNAcentral
UACGUAGGGGGCAAGCGUUGUCCGGAAUCAUUGGGCGUAAAGAGCGUGUAGGCGGCUUGGUAAGUCCGCUGUGAAAGUCCAGGGCUCAACCCUGGAAUGCCGGUGGAAACUGUCAGGCUCGAGUCCGGAAGAGGCGAGUGGAAUUCCUGGUGUAGCGGUGAAAUGCGCAGAUAUCAGGAGGAACACCAAUGGCGAAGGCAGUGGUCUGGGCCGGAACUGACGCUGAAUAGCGAAAGCGUGGGUAGCGAACAGG